RNAcentral lists this ribosomal RNA (408 nucleotides) under uncultured Synechococcus sp. RNAcentral describes it as "bacterial SSU rRNA". It matches the Rfam family "Bacterial small subunit ribosomal RNA", at positions 32 to 488 of the family's 1533-position model. The record is from RNAcentral. Lineage: Bacteria; Bacillati; Cyanobacteriota; Cyanophyceae; Synechococcales; Synechococcaceae.
AACGCUGGCGGCGUGCUUAACACAUGCAAGUCGAACGAACCUCGGGUUAGUGGCGGACGGGUGAGUAACGCGUGGGAAUCUGCCCUCAGGAGGGGGAUAACGGCCGGAAACGGCCGCUAAUACCCCAUAUGCCGAGAGGUGAAAUGAAUUUCGCCUGAGGAUGAGCCCGCGUCUGAUUAGCUAGUUGGUGAGGUAAGAGCUCACCAAGGCAUCGAUCAGUAGCUGGUCUGAGAGGAUGAUCAGCCACACUGGGACUGAGACACGGCCCAGACUCCUACGGGAGGCAGCAGUGGGGAAUUUUCCGCAAUGGGCGAAAGCCUGACGGACCAACGCCGCGUGAGGGAUGAAGGCCUCUGGGCUGUAAACCUCUUUUAUCAAGGAAGAAGAUCUGACGGUACUUGAUGAAUA